Molecule: unclassified non-coding RNA, 320 nt
Filed under: plant metagenome
Description: partial contains 5.8S ribosomal RNA, internal transcribed spacer 2, and large subunit ribosomal RNA
Rfam family: 5.8S ribosomal RNA (bases 1-105)
Source: RNAcentral
GAAAUGCGAUAAGUAAUGUGAAUUGCAGAAUUCAGUAAAUCAUCGAAUCUUUGAACGCACAUUGCGCCCGCCAGUAUUCUGGCGGGCAUGCCUGUUCGAGCGUCAUUACAACCCUCAGGCCCCCGGGCCUGGCGUUGGGGAUCGGCGGAAGCCCCCUGCGGGCACAACGCCGUCCCCCAAAUACAGUGGCGGUCCCGCCGCAGCUUCCAUUGCGUAGUAGCUAACACCUCGCAACUGGAGAGCGGCGCGGCCACGCCGUAAAACACCCAACUUCUGAAUGUUGACCUCGAAUCAGGUAGGAAUACCCGCUGAACUUAAGC